This 3499-nucleotide long non-coding RNA is filed under the name Sus scrofa (pig). RNAcentral describes it as "lncRNA (ENSSSCG00000060939.1)". Lineage: Eukaryota; Metazoa; Chordata; Mammalia; Artiodactyla; Suidae. The record is from RNAcentral.
CAUCUCGUCAAGAAAUGGGAUGAGGGCUGGGCCGGCAGGUCUUUGGGGCCUGGACCAGGAUCUCCAUGGCUGACACAGUACCUUUAAGGGCUCCCUUUACACGUCGGAAACCUGUCCCCCUCUGUGUGAGUCUGCUAGGGCUUCUGCAACAAAGUUCUACAAACGGGGCAACUGAGACGACAGGUGUGGGCUGCCUCACAGCUCUGGAGGCUGGAAGUCCGAGAUCAAGGUGUGGACAAGCUGGUUUCUCCCGAGGCCUCCCUCCUUUGGCUCACGGAUGGCCAUUGUCUCCCUGUGUCCUCACUGUGUCCUCAUCUCCUCUUCUGUAAGGACCCCAGUCUUACUGGAUUAGGGCCCACCCAGAUGGCUUCAUUUUAACCUGCUGACCUCUUUAAGACUCAAUCUCCGAAUACGUUCUGAGGUAUCAGGGGUUAAGACUUCAACAUACGAACUUGGAGGGAACCCCUUUCAGCACCCGAAGCCCUCUGAGGGACCCAUUUAGCUGCCUAAGCCCAGCUCUAUCUCAGCUCUGAGAGGCUCUGAGCCUGUGACCAGGACCGAUCCACGCGUGAAGUGAGGAGAGUCCUGACAGGGCACCCAUCUUGCCAUGACUCACUCACAACAAAACAUGGAGGAAGUCAGAUGGACGGAUAGCAGGUCUUUUGAAAGCCGGGAAGCCCAUCUCACGUAUUCCAGGGGCUAUGAGAACUAUGAUGCUGCCCCUCAGAAGGAUCGGAAAGACCAAUAAACAGGAUGACUUCCGCUUUUAAGUUGAAAGUGUUUUAUGACUGCAUUUUCUCACCGUCACUGACCAAGCCCAUUCACCAAAGCCCUGAACAGAAGGGUUUUCCCCUCUAACUUUUAAAAACAGCAAACGGCAAAGGAAUGAAUCAUCAAACAGGCAGAACACUCUUCCUAUGACUCUUUUACCUGAGUAAAAACAUUACUUCCUGAAAGCGUGAAAAAAGAGAAAAGUGGCAAGAGGUGACUAACAGGGGUGCCUGGGCUGAUGCACAGAGCUUCGGGACAGCACGAACUUUGGAGGCAGGCGAGGUUACGCGAUGAAAGGAAGGUGGGUGAGCACACGCCCUCAGCUCCCCCAGAGAAAUAAGGCUUGAGGGGACUGUGAGUAAGAGGCUCCCCAAAAAAGAUGUGUAACUGAACAGUGCCACCAACGUGCAGCAGUGGGUUGGGUAUGAGGUUCUAACUACCCUGUGACACAUAUUCACAGAGAAACUGGGUGGCUUUAUUUAAAUGACAAUUUCUGAUUCAUCACUGCCUGCUUGCGGCGCUGCUCAGCAGCAGGGCUCAUGGAUCAGCCCUGUUUAGUCAUGAGCAUGUGCUGGCCCUGCUGGGAAGUGACGGGAAGGUCAGCGACUCACGACGACCACAGAGUUCCAUGGAGGGGACGCAGGGCUGCACGGUGGCCUGGGCUGUGGGUUGAUUUGUGUCUCCCCAAAAAGAUAUGUUGAAGUCCUAGCCCCCAACACCUCUGAAUGGGACCUUAAUGAGAAACAGGGGCAUUGCAGAUGUCCUUAGCUAAGAUGAGGCCAUGCUCCGAGGGUGGGCCCUUAACCCAGUGCGGCCAGUACCUUAAAAGAAGAGACUGGAUCUGGGCACAGAAACAGAGAUAUACAGGAAGAACGUCAUGUGAUGCUGGAACAGAGGGUGCUAUAAAGCAGGGAAUUUCAAGGAUUGCCAGCAAUUCUGAGACCCUGGAGAGGCAAGGAGGGAGUCUCACUACAGGCUUCGGAAGGAGUGUGGCCCUGCUGACACCUUGAUUGCAGAUCUCCAGCCGCCCAACUGAGGAAAUAACUCUGUCGUUGAGUGAACCCAUUCUGUUGUACGCUGUUACACGGCAGCCAUAGGAAACCAAACAGCCCAUCACCCAUUGUGCUGACGACAACACGCUUCCCUCCACACGUGUUUCUGCUCCAUGGCUUCCAAAGCAACGCUCUUCUAAAGGUCUCCACUUUUCGGAUCUUGGCUUUUUUCCAAUGUUCAAAAACCAUACAAGACUUUCAUUGGUCUCCCAUUCUCUUGUGCCAACAUGUUGCACAAAAACCCAUUAGGUCCACGCUGGAGACAAAUCUAUGUGUUUUUCGGUGGGAACCUCUUCUGUAAUCUUGGCUUAUCACCCACCAUCAUGACCUCGAACACAUCUGCAGGCCUUCGUGUCUGCAUCAUACGAAGAUGGACUUGAACUACAGUAAUUUCUAGUCAGAAACACUGGAGACCAUUUCUUCUUCUUUUUUGUCUUUUUGCCUUUUCUAGGGCUACUCCCACAGCAUAUGAAGGUUCCCAGGCUAGGGUCUAAUCGGAGCUGCAGCCGCCAGCCUACGCCACAGCCACAGCAACGCAGGAUCCGAGCUGCGUCUGCAACCUACACCACAGCUCACGGCAACACUGGAUCCUUAACCCACUGAGCAAGGCCAGGGAUCCAACCUGCAACCUCAUGGUUCCUAGUCGGAUUCACUAACCACUGAGCCACGACGGGAACUCCAUGGAGACCAUUCUUGAUUGGUGUUUUAGACUCCAAAGUGAUGAAUAAAAAAGGGAGGAAAACAGGGUAAAUCUCCUUCUCCCUUGUGCUAUUUCUGAGGUCUUGAUCCAAAAAUUAAAGGGAAGAUGUUUGCUCAAUAAACUGUCUAGCCAAGCAGCAACAGGAAAGAGAAAGGAUAUCAAUUUGGAAAUUCAAAGCUCCAACCAUAGAGCUAUGAAUUAAUCAACCAAAAACAUUUUUUUUUUUUUUUUGGUCUUUUUUAAGGCCGCACCCAUGGCAUAUGGAAGUUCCCAGACUAGGGGUCAAAUCGGAGCUGUAGCUGCCAGCCUAUGCCACAACCACAGCAACGCCAGAUCCAAGCCAUGUCUGUAAACUAUACCACAGCUCAUGGCAAUGCCAGAUCCUUAACCCACUGAGCAAAGCCAGGGAUCGAACUUGCGUCCUCAUGUCAACCACCAUUUAUUGAUGUCUACUGAGAGCCUGAAUAUACAAAGGAACAUUGGCCAGAUCAUAUAUAAUAAAAAUAGAGUUCUGACCUACACGCUGCAGUGAGCAGCCCAGAGAACCAUCCAUCAUCUACAGUAACCAGCCCAGGAAGGCAGCCUACUCUAAAUCAGGCUCACAGAAAGUCAGACUACUAUCAGCAGCAACAAUCCAGAAGUCAAAUAAUAACCCCUGUAACAACUGGCCCCAAAUGGCCAGAACUCAAUAACGGAGAGCUUUCCUAAUUUUUGUCCCCACUUCCGUCUUCAGACAAACCAGAGAAAGUCAAAUACACACUCCUCCCCCAUCGCAGGGGACGCCUUGCUUCUAGCUGGCCUGCCUCCAGCUUCGCAGUGGCAAUAGUGUCCAGUGGAGACACUCCUGAAGAUGUCCCCUUUUCCACUAUAAAUCCUCCCCCUCUUCGGCCUGCCUCUGAGUCUCUGCCAGAACCUAAGUGACAGUGGCGGACGCCCUUGCUCAAGGAAGUUCUGAAUAAAUAACCUUUGCUCGUUC